This 71-nucleotide transfer RNA is filed under the name Loxodonta africana (African savanna elephant). It matches the Rfam family "tRNA". From Rfam's summary of the family: Transfer RNA (tRNA) molecules are approximately 80 nucleotides in length. Their secondary structure includes four short double-helical elements and three loops (D, anti-codon, and T loops). Lineage: Eukaryota; Metazoa; Chordata; Mammalia; Proboscidea; Elephantidae. The record is from Rfam by way of RNAcentral.
ACAAUAGUGGUUCAGUGGUAGACUUCUCACCUCCCAUGUGAGAGACCCGGGUUCAAUUCCCUGCCAGUGCA